Scylla paramamosain (green mud crab) is the source of this 700-nucleotide long non-coding RNA. RefSeq lists it as uncharacterized. The record is from RefSeq and is a predicted model, not a curated record. NCBI's taxonomy places the organism in Eukaryota, Metazoa, Arthropoda, Malacostraca, Decapoda, Portunidae. The transcript has 3 exons.
UUUCAUUUGUUUCAGAGACACAUCAGUUAUUCUGAUAGAGGCUCAGUGUCAUUUGUUAAUAAGGCUACCCAGUGGAGGAAGGUGAAGCAAACAGUGCCAGUGUUCAGCAGGAAAAAAAGUUACUAUGUGAGAUAUUUAGCAUCAGUGAUGGUCAAGAUGUGAUGUAGACGUAAGGAAGAGGUUCCACGUGUUUAUUAAGGAAGCUGCCAAACUGUACCCACUUCCGUCGUCCUGAGAAUCUCCACACAACACCAGCUCAGAGGAUUCCCAACAAUACCAAUUAUCAGAUACCGACAAGAAUGGACAGUCACCUUGCUAUGUCCAACAGCCCUCCAGAUACACCUGAGGCACACAGCGUCACCCCAGUACAGCCCCAAGUUGGUCUGGCUAGCCCCAAUGACGAUGAAAGCAGGAAACAUCAUUAUCACCUGCUGUGGUUGAUGAUGGUGGCUUCUACACACACACACACACACACACACACACACACACACACACAUACAUACACACUGAACAUUACCUAUUCACUUGAGCACUUACUUGGUCAUCGUCUGAGUUUUGUAGAUCGUGAUUGACAGAGACAGAGAGAGAGAGAGAGAGAGAGAGAGAGAGAGAGAGAGAGAGAGAGAGAGAGAGAGAGAGAGAGAGAGAGAGAGAGAGAGAGAGAGAGAGAGAGAGAGAGAGAGAGAGAGAGAGAGAGAGA